CCCUUCACGCGCACGCCUACCCAUCGAAGCCACCGCAUACCACGCCGCAAGUCGCCACCGCAAGUCGCCACCGCAAGUCGCCUCAUGCCGCCGCCGCUCGCCCUUUCUCUGUAGAUCGCCAACGCAACCCUGGGCCCCAGGGUCGUUCCCUCCUCCCCACCAGGCUCGAGGAGGCGGCCACGAGGAGCGCGCAGCCGCCGCAAUCCUGGGCAGAUCUAGCCGGGGCCGUCGGCAGCCAUCCCUCCCUCCGGCCGGCCAUGAGGAAUUGAACCGGCUUGAGCAGAACUAGCGCAUGGACCAUGCGUGCCUCCCGCGCUAGGAGCCACCGGUCCUCGUCAUCUGCUAGCAUCCAGGAGGAAUCGAUCCAUAUAAUGUUUGCGGGGAGCUCGGUUAGUGUCAACACCUCAUGGAUUUAUGCAUAUCAGUUCAUUUUGCUUAAAGCCAGUGUAAUGAUGCCUACUGGUUCCAGGGCCGUUGACGAGGAUGUGCGAGGUGGGCGACCGCACAGGGCCCCCAAAAAUUAGGGGGCUUCGAAUCCUGUAUAUGUGUUCUUUGUCACCAUGGAUCUGAGAGUGCCCGAACUGCUCGUUUCGUACAUGGUCACGGCUGACGGCCGCACCGAUACGAGCGGCAUCUUGGUUCCUUUGUGUGUCCUAGGGCGGCGAGGCCCAUGAUCUUGUACAUGGAGCAGUGCAGCAUCGUUGUUGUGCCUCUGCUGUCAUCCGUCACCAGAACAAGCAGGCAUGCACGUUUCCCUUGCCUGACGCAUUCCCAUAGUCCAUGUUUUGGAUCCAGAUUGAAGAGCAAACUCGUGCUACAGCAGCAACCCAGUAGCAAAACUCUGAGCUCAGCCAGCAGGUCAACGAAUUACAAGAUCAACUACAAGCUGAACGUGCAAACACACAAGAGAGGAUUAACUUGGAGCGUGCUGAGAAAGAACAAUUUGGGGAGAGGUUAAAAGAAGAGCGUGCUGAAAGGGAAAUAUUGUUGGAAGAAGAGCGAACAUCAAGACUGUAAUUUGAAAAAAACAUGAUGGCAAAUUUUGCAAAAUUGAGCCAACAGAUGGGAACCAGUAGGUGCCAACGAAGAGGAUUAACAAAGAAAAUAGUAGUCUAAACUUGUAAAAUACUCUUUUUUAGAGAUCUAGUCCUAAUAAGACUCUAGGUGCAAGGCUAACUGUUAUUUCUUCAAAUGUGCUCAUACAAGCUGAAUAAGGAAUUCUCAAAUGUUUAAAGCAAUGGUAAGUCACAACCUUGCUUUCUUUUCAUGUUCACCUGCAUUUUAUACGUAUGGCCUUCAUAAUUAGCUAGCUACUUCUUCUCUUUCACCAUGUGUUGAUAUUGCAUUGAGUCACAAUUUAGCAAAAACGAAUAUGUGCUAGCUAGGGACAUGAACUUAACUGAAACUAUAGAUUGAGUCACAACUAAAUCAAUAGCGGAUGCUUUUAGUACAUGUACUUGUGCUUAUGUUUUAGACAUUUACACUUGUAAAACUGUUCUGAUCCCUCAGUUACAUGCUUGUUGACACAGUAUUACUCCAGUUAGUCUGGCGAUAGGUAUUUUUAACAAUGGGGCUGAAAUUGUAUGGUGUAUGUUAUGUUGGACUCAUUAACUAGAACUAUUUUUUUGAUUUCUUGAUUGCAGGAUCCAACGAUCUAGCUCGACUCGACUCUAGAUCACGAACAGUUUAGUCUUGGCCCUUAAGUAGGAUGGCUAAAUUACAUUUGAGUAUCGUUUGAUGGAUAUUUUCUAUGAAAAUUAUGAAUCUACAUAUUAUAUGUAUGGUUUUGAAUAUUGUAAUUGAAUGCCUGUGUUUUUUUUAUGGUUACAAUAGGCUAUUACCACAAUCCACUUUUGGUUGC
Triticum aestivum (bread wheat) is the source of this 1861-nucleotide long non-coding RNA. RefSeq lists it as uncharacterized. The transcript has 5 exons. Lineage: Eukaryota; Viridiplantae; Streptophyta; Magnoliopsida; Poales; Poaceae. The record is from RefSeq and is a predicted model, not a curated record.